AAACGGCCCUUGUACCGGGGCCGGAGCGCGGCGAGGAGCGGCCUCGCCUCUCUCCGUAGCUGGGGGUGGGGGGGCUCCGUGCCGCUGCGGUUUGCCCGCGUUCGCCCUCCGCCGCGGUGCCGGGCCGUGCCGCACGGCUGCCGGGAGCCCCGGGCUGCCUCCGGCAGCCUGCCUGUGCCGCUCGUACCGCGCUGCAGCCGGGCGAGGCGAUGCUCCGGGCGGCUGCACCCCUGCCUUCCCCCAGCCCUCGCCUUUGUGGCGCUGCGAGGCGGGGGGUGUGUGUGGGGGGGGGGGGGCACGGGUCUGCUGGCGGCAGGGGAAGGGAGGGGAAGGCCUGGGGGCGGUGAGGGCAUCUUCGCGCACGGCUCCCAAAACGCUUCGCAGCCGUCCAUUGGGGCUCAGAGCCCCCCGCUGCAAGCUGGGGACGCCUUACUGAGCCCUUGGGCAGGUGGGGGAGCAGCGAGCUGAGAGAUCGAAGUCACGUCCCUGUCCUGAACUGGGUGUCACAGAUCCUAGGUCUGCUGAUGGAGGUAUUCAUCCCCAUGUCCUCUAUGAAAUCGUCUCUUAUUUCUAUCGGCUGCUCCAUGAGCUGUUCUGGGCGCUGCAGGCCACGUGUGCUCCGGGGUUUUGAGAUACUGCUGUUGCGUAUACCAAAAUUUCGGUGCCUGUAAGCGUGAGAAGAGUGGUUUCUGCUUAAAACAGGUCCGUGGUGGCUGCUUGGUUUGUACUGGGGCAGAACCCAGGAGCUCUGUGGUGGGUGAGGUUGCUUUAGGCAAGGCAGUGGGCAGCCAGACAGCAAGGCAUGUACGGGGCUGACGAGGUAAAUGCAGAAAGCCUGGACACCUGCCGUGAUGUGUGUGACAGCCUGCCUCACGAAAGAGAAGCCCGGACAGGAGGUGGGCCGUGUGCGAGGUCUGGUUCCCAUCCAGUGCUUCUAUCGAUCUCCUUUAAGGUUUUCAACCGAAGAACCCCGGCUGCAGUCUCAGGUUUAAGUCUCGCUGCCCUGUCUGUAGGGCACAGCACAGGACAAUGAUUGCCCCAAAGUGUUCACAAAGCCUAAAGCUACCCCAGUGUAAGAAAAGCCUACUGCCGACUGGGUGACAUUGUAUAGCUCCCAGUAGCCACAGGGGAAAGGGAAAGGAGCAGGCUGAGUGCUCACAUGCCUUUUCUGGGUUUUAAUACCCAGCUGGUGUUUGCAGAUCUCUGGGCAGGCUGAUCCAGCCUUAUGAGAUAUGCUGGCAACCCUUAUUUCUUACUGUGUGACUUCGUAGGAGUUAAAAGUUCCUCUCUAACGAACACCCCCCAAGAAGCAAGAGGCCAGGCAUCUCAGGGCAAUGCAGUUGCAAGAGGCAUCGCUUACUGCUGGCAGGCGAGCUGCGGUUUCGCAGUUUGGUUCCUUUCCAGCGUUUUGGAGGGACAGUUCCUGUAGAGAAGAGGGAGCAAGCAUAGCUCCAGGGCCUCCACUGCUGGGCACCAGCCAAUUACUGUCAUAUCAGAUUAGCUCUAUGGCACAUUAGCACUCAUUUAUGUUAAUACAAAUGCAGCAUGACUGCUCCAUACUAUUGAUGGAACUAUCGUAUUUACAGCCCUGUAAUGUGACUAAUUGGAAGGGAGGUUCUGGUUACAAAACCAUGGACUUCCAAGGUGAUUCCUGCUGCCGCUUCCCUGUAGCCAAUUGUGUGAAGCAUGAAGAUCGAGCCUCUAGAAGACGUAAUCCGCUUUUUAGUUAGCGUCAGUGCGGAUACGCUUUUGGCAAACUCCAGGAAAAAAAAUCCCGUAUCACAAAAGGAGCGGGAAGAGCUUGUGAUUCUUUCCACCUUGCCACAAUCCGGACCCGGUAACCUGCGCCCCCGUAGCUGUGUCUUGGCCGCUGAGAAGGGCUCUGCUGCCCGUGCUCCCCAGCAGCCUGGCCCUUGAGCCCCGCGUUAAGAUUCCCCAGCUGCUGCCGCAGUGUGAGCGCGUUCUGCUUGUCCAGAGCAGCUCGGCAGCAGCAGUCCUGGGUGUUUGUGAGCUGGGGAGGCGUAACGUGCCCGUUCUUUGCCCAGGUCUGUAGAGCUGUCUGCAGCUUGGUGGCUGCCCGGCUCAGCCGUCACCUGCUGACGUGCCGAGGAUGCACCCGCUUGUCCCCGGGAACAAACGAGGCUCCUCCGGCCAGAGCCUGCACGAGUUUCGCAGUCCCUGCUUCGUAAUUAGCUCAGCCUCGGCUUCCAUCUGCUUUGCAGCUCGCAGCAGCCCUCACAGCUGGUUCCUGGCAGCCAUUAGCACCUUGCAGCAGAGGAACAGCUUCAGCUGUGAGUCUUGGGAAGAUGGACAGGGCUGGCAGCACCAGCGAGCUUGGGAGAAAUGACGAGGGAGGAGAAGACGGAUGCGUGGACGCGGGGAAGGAAGGUGGACUGUGAACAUACGUGAUGGGGGGGAAACGAAGCGACAGAUCAUGUUAUAACCUAUGAUCACAGAAAGUCCUGAUCCUCACGUUUCUCUGCUGUCACCUGUGGGCUCCUCCAGAGCCGCGAAGAAAGGGGAACUGCAGCCCCACCAUGAGAAGACUGGGUCUUCUGCGCGUGGCGACUCAACCCAUGUGGGAGCUCUCUUGUGUGAGUACCCAGCAGCACACUUUGCUGUCUGUGGUCUGUGGACAUUGACUGGCAUCUAAGCGACACCCAGCUCCCUCCUCUCCCCCUAGAAGCCACUGUCUUAGAGCCUCCAUGCGCAUUUGCUAUGACAUACAUCAGUGUUGAUGAGAGACAGGAACACUGCCGGGUCUUGAGCUGCCAAAAUAAUCAGCUCUGUGCACAACAUGGCUUAAAGGAUUUUCCGGUUAGCAGCAUGCAUCCACUAAAGAACUUAGACACUCACAUUUUUUCCGGGGACUUCCACACUCUAGACUCCUGCCACACAGGCAAGGCACCUUUGGCCAGUCCUGUGGAAAACCGGAUGUAUCGGAGCGUGGAGAACCUUCACUGGGCAGCAGUAGCUGACUCGGGGCUGUAUUCUCACUGCCGGAGCCUGGAUAACGAGAUCGUCUUUCGCUACAGAGGCAGCAGUCAGUGGGCAGAAGGCUGCGUGGAUGUGGCCCCGGUACGGAGCACAUCGGACUCUGUGAGAAACCUUUCCCUCCGCCCUAAGCAGACAUCACGAUCAGCGCAGAAUGUGCUGCUCCCCCCCUUUGCCAAAGUGCCUCAGUGGCUCUUCCCUUCCGCGGAGGAAAGAGCCCUACCCGGGGAUGCCAAAAAAGAGCUGAAGGAGAAGCUGAGGCUGCACAGCAGUAAGGUGGCAGAGCCCAGCAAGCCACUGCGCCCGCAGGCAGCCCUGACUGAGCUGGUAGCCCAGGAGUUUUCUGAAUGCCAGCUGUGCCGGCAGCACAGGAACGGUUGUGCUGUCAGCUGCUGCACGGUUUUGGUGGAACACGCGGCUCUCAGGCACGGCCUCACGGGGAGGCAGAGGUUCUGUGCUGCACACGGGACCAUCAGUCCAGAAGACAUCAAGCAGGAGGCUCAGAGGAGGCUGCAGCUCCGAAGGCAGAACAGCUCCCCCAACUUGCCCUUUCAGCACGCUGGGGAAAGCCCGGAGAUGGCAAAAUCCAGAACAGCGGAAUUCCUGCAACAACGCAGUGGGGAAAUAGCGACGCCGGGGCAGAGCAAGAAAGGCCGCUGCAGAGGAAGGCUCUACAUCCCCACCUUCGAGGAAUUCAAGCAAAUGAGAAGUAAGGAGGCAAAUUCAUCCGCUGCAAGCAGUGAGCCAACAAAGUGCUUGAAUAAGGGUCUGAUGGCAAACCAGACGCUGGACAAGGAGAGCAGUAAGAACACCCGUCCAGAAGCUUUGGGGACCAAAGCAGCGAAUGAAGCUGCCAUCACAGAGGAUGAUGAUGAUGUGUUCCAUGAAAACAACACCGCCGCUGGCUUUGCCCAAUAUCCAGCCACAUGGGAUGGUUUCAGGACGAGCAGCCCUGAGGUGAAGGAGAGAACCUUCCAGAUCUCCAGCCCGGAUAGAUCCCCGAUCCCCAUUUGCUCUAGCCCUAUUCCGCGAUCACCUUUGCAGGCAGUAGCCGUACACAAAGCUGGGCAGGAAAUCUUCAGUGAUGAGCAGCAGAAAGGAGAGACAAGCGAAUUAAAUGACGUCCUCCACCUUGCAGGGCAGUCGCUGGCUUCUGAAGCCCAGUCCUCUUGCUGUUCAUCGCUGCUGUUAGAAGCCACAGACUUGUCAAGCUAUGGAGCUAAACUACAAAAAAUGAAGGAUGAAUUCAUAGGUUCAGCACUGGAACUUAUUAAGAAAAGCUGCAAUGCUGAGACUGCUGCCAAAUCCCCCUCCAAGGGACAGUGUGAUCUGAAGAAAGACGAUCUCCCCCCUACGGAGGACAGCCAGCAACCCACAGCGAUGUCCAUGGCAACAGAGGCCUGGGAGGAGAAGCCAAGCAGUGAGACAUCCAGCGACGCUCAACCUGCGGGGAAUACCUCCAGUCCCGGCUGCCGCCGAUCCAGCUCCGACAUCGUCCAUGAGAGCACGAGCGGCGCCAAGGCCCAGCGGGAGUGCCGGCUGCGGCCGCACUUCAGUGACCCCAUGCCGACAGACUCGGUGAAGAGGAAGCAGCUGGAGCUGAAGAUCGCGGCAGCAGCGCGGCAGCAUGCGCAGAAGCGCCGGCAGGAGCGAGACUACGGUCCCGUGGUAGCAAAAGCCAACCUCGGCCACGGCGGCAGCUUCGACGAGACUCGCCGCGCCCCACGUGGCUCCCUCCGCUCCCGGCACCACUGGAGCAACGUCAGCAGCCUGAGCACGGACAGCGGGAUCGUCGGCGUGAACGACGUCCGCGAUGACCUGGAUCCCGGCGAGGCCGCCCGGACCAAGUCAGCAGAGGUGGAGCGGGCAGACAGCGGCAUUGGGCAGACGUCGGCCAGGAAGUGGAGGAGCAGGGCAUCCGAAACGCUGAGCUCCCUGCAGGCCUGGGAAGCCCACCGGCCCUGUACCGACUGUGGAGAAAGGGACCUCCCGGUGGAGACGGACGUGCAGAACUGCAAUCAGCGGCGGGCCGACCUCUGCGAGAAGUGCCGCAAGCGCAGGACGGAGCGCAAGGAGUCUGUGCUGGAGUUUGUGAACACGGAGGCCAGUUACGGAGAGGACCUGCGCAUCAUCAAAGAGGAAUUUUACCUCCCCAUGCAAGCGGCUGGGCUGCUGAGUCAAGAGCAGCUCCUCGGCAUCUUCAGCAACAUUCAGGAGCUCAUCGACCUCAACGAGAACUUCCUGGAGAUCCUUCAGGAAGAGAUCGAUCAGGCCUUUGACCAGGGGGAUGACGACCUGAUGACCGUGUGCAUCGGUGAAAUAUUUCUAGAGUUCGUCAACAUGCUGCCAGCCUUCCAGACCUACUGUCUUCAGCAGUCCUCCUCCGUGAACAUGCUCAAUGCGCUGGAGAAGGAGAAAGAGCUGCUCAGGAUAUUCCUCAACGUGUCCCAGAAUGAUAAUACGGCACUGCGACGGAUGAACCUGCGCUCCUUUCUGAUGGCCCCGCUGCAGAGGGUCACCAAGUACCCUCUGCUGCUCAGCAGAAUCAUCAAGGCCACCACCGAGUACCACCCAGACCACGGCAGCCUGCGGGAGGCCAAGAGCCGCAUCGAGUCCCACCUGGAGCACAUCAACAUGAAAACCAAGCAGGAGGGGAACACGUGGACCCUCCGCUCCUUUCGCCAGGACAGCAAGAAGAAGAGGGAAGUCAUCAACAUCGAAAUGAGAGAAACCGCCCUCAAAACGGUGGGAUGGCUGCGGGAGGAAACACGCUUUGUGAUGGAGGGGGCUCUGCAGCUGGCCCAGCCCCCCGACGGCCAGUGGGUGAAGAAAGGCAGCAAGACCCUCAAGUUCCAAAACAUGCAGGUCCUCCUGCUGGUCAACAUGAAGCGCGUGUCCGAGUCCAGCCUGGAGCUGGCUGAGCCAGGGCCCGUGAAGGACGCCGUGCUGGUGCUCAUCAGGGACAAAAACAACGGCAAGUUCCAUUUGCUCAGGGAGCCCUUGAGGCUGAGUAAUUGCAUCGUCUCCACCGAUCCCGACUGUGACGACACUUUUGAACUCAUUGAGAUCAGGCGGGAGGCGUUUGUGUUCCGGGACAGCGACCGGGCACGGACUCACCACUGGUUCAGGCAGAUCAGGCGCUACUCGAGGGAGCUGGGCUCCUGGAAGAAGCGGCGCAACGCGCUGCCCAACAUCAUGAUCAGCACCCCUCACACCCGGCCCUGAGUCCUGCGCGGGCAGCACGCGGGGAGGCUCGGCCUGGGAGCCUCGGCGGCUUCAACUUGCUCCGCUCCGUGGACGACACAGAAAGGAGCCUGACCCAGGACGACUUGUAGCUCCUGCCCAGCAGCACUGGAACCGAGUGUUACGGCCUAAUCCUCGUCUCCAGCCUCAGGACUCCCGUCCUGCUUGUGGCUGAUGGACCUGCACGGAGGGGCUGCUCUUGAGGAGCAGGCCCCUGGAAGAAAAUACUGAGUUUUACUUGUUAAUAUUGCACUGCGGGAGAAUGAUGUGUGAUGCUUGCAUUUGCAUGGAUUCUGUUGAAAGCCAGUCUCGACAACAUGAGAGAGGUUUCCACCAUUGACUAUAUUUCAUCAGCAUUAGGUAAAGUCAGGGUUAAAAUUAGGUGCAGUAUUAUGCAGCAGAGGGGGAAAGUUGGAGAAAAUGUUUUCCACCACUACUCCCCUAAGGACUAUAUUUCAUUUUUCACCUUUGUAUGUUCUGUCAAAAUACUUGUUAAAAAAGAAAGGUCUUUCAUCUUUAAUCCAAAUCAAGUAUGUAUCAGUUUGCUCAGAUUCAGCUGCAUGCACACAGCAAACAAAAAAAGAAAUCAGACAAGAAUAAAAGGAAUUCUUGCUUUCUCACACAUGCACCCCAAAUACGUCUAGAACCUGUGGACGAGCAGUAUGCCCCCACUGGAAGUCUGUUAUUUAACCGACUUAGAGACUGGAACGUAGCACUGCAUCUGAAAUGUCUCAGAAAUGAGGAUCCACGCUGGGAACGUAUUUGUGUAUUUCUCCAGAGAUCAGCUAGCACCAGCGAGCCCACAGACGAAGGCAGACAGAGGCAGACCUUUGCGGAGGUGUUGAAAGGGAGCACAAGCACAGAACGAUCCCUCUGGCCCUGCGAGCACUGGUGCUGUGGGGUGAGCCUGCACAGGAAGGGGGAGCGGUGUCAGCACACUAACGAGGCAGUAAGUUUCCAUAAUCCUCAGGCACCUUUCCGAACCUGGAUGAUCCCUCUCCUGGGAAGUUCCAGGUCCUUCAGUAUCACACGUACACGUCUUACUUGACAGCCCUAGAGUUUAGCUUCGUUGUAUUUUUCCAUUUCUGAUUAACCUGACAAAAUGCUGUUGUAACCCAUGGCACUUGGGAACAGGUUUGUCUACAAGCCCAGGAAGUAAUUAUUUGUUCCAAACUGGCCUUCAUGGGCUCUACAGUAUUUUUACACCUCUUAGAAUUCAUAAAUGACAAUACUAAAAAUUAAUGACUGACAAUACUAAGGUUACUUUUCAAGACUCCUUCCAACUGCACUUACCUUGCUAGUAUGUGCAGGCCAGAAGGAAGACGCCCUCUCUGAAGUACUACGUUAGGGGAAAAAAAUAAGAAAGUCAACUGGUCACUUAUCAGGAAGGGAAAAAAAAAAAAAGCGGCAGUCUUUCUCAUAGAGUUUCCGCAGUUUUUAGCUCAAAAGGCUAAAAAAAAGGACAACACCAGUGAGAUCAGGUACCAAAGGAAGGAAAAUCCAUUUUAAGAGUCAGCAUGUUGGGUGGGACAGCCUGAGAAAACGUGGGGAGAUGAAGAGCAAAUGCUUUAGGAAGCAGAGAUAUCUGCUUUAGGGAACAAAUAGAGAUCUUCCCUUCUAUAGUGAAAGAAAACAUGCAGUGGUACUGACAGAAGACCCUAGCAGAGACAGAGGCUUGCUGUUAUCCCUCGGAGCAUUGAGCCACAGAAGUGAAUCUGAUGAGACCCUCCCCACAGUUGACAGGGGACACACAUUUGGGGUGGAGGUCAUCCAACAGGUGCUGGAGGAAUGCUAUUUUGGCUGGGAAAUUCAGGUCCAGUUCUGGAACACAGGUAUGGGAUCAGCAGUUACAGGCCGUGGCUUUGAUAGGGCAGGGCCUGCAGCCAGAGUUGGUUCGGUCAGGUUUGUGCUGUCAAAGCUACCGGGGCUAAAUCCUCUGGUACAGUCAUGGCUGUCCUUAAGAGAAGUGAGGUUUGUCACGGGUCUCCGCGAUGUGAUCUGGAAUGCAUCUGAAAGGGAACACCAGCUUUGGUCUGGCAGCAAGAAGCUAUUGUAGCUGUCACUGGAGACAGGGACUGACCUCAGCACAUCCUAAAUCCUGUGAAAAAAAAGCUCUGAGAUGAUCUCAUGUUUCCUGCCUGCGGGGAACUUCAGUCAUUUGAUCAUUUGAUGCACAUGAAAAUAUUACGGAGCUAAAGUCCCAGGAAGCCAGAUCUCCAGAAGGUGAGUCUGGGAAUCUUGCACCGUCUCUUGCACUCGUCCCCAGCAUCCUCAAAAGGAAGAGAAUUCAACUCUUCUAGCACCACGUCCAAGAUAGCCCUUCAGGGCUCAUGUAUCAGGCAGCUGUAACGACUGUCUUUUGGGGAUGUCAGCCUUGGCUCCUCAUAAAUGUAUGCUGGAAAUCAGCUGAGAUUCAUCUGCAAUCAGGCUGAAUUCUUCCAACUUACAAUUAGAAAAGCUGGGAACCAAAAGCAACAGCCUGGCAGAGAUCAGAUACACAUCUCAGUAUCACUGUUGAGUCCCCUUCUGUCACUACUGGGAAUGUGACAGAGCAAAAAGUCAUACCAAAGUCAGGCAGGCAAAGGAAUUGCCUUGUUUCUCACGGAGACUGCUGCAGAAUAUCAAUUUGACUGGAGAUGUACAGGCAAUAAAAAAAUAAAGUUUUGAGAAUACCACCGCACAGUUUAGGGAUUCCAGGUAAUUCCUAAGGCACUCAUUAGAAGAAGAAGAAAAAAAAAAACAGCACCGUCUCCUUCAGGAAGCUGAAGGCAGUCCUCUGAGGAAAACCCUUCUCCACCAUGGAUGGAAAACUUGAGCGACAGGGACACGGAGGGUCCUCUUCAACAGAGAGUGAAGAAUCCUGACGAGGAAUCAGAAGACAGGCAGAGAACAUCCUCCAGCGCUGAUCUCUGCUCAGGCCUGAUUUGGAGCAGUUAUAUAGUUAGUUAGUAGUAGGCUCUAGGUGCAUUGGCAGCAAUGAAUGUAACGAUAAUUAGCACCCCUUCAGCCCAAACUUUGCUCUAGCACUACCUCUACCAGCGCAGGCUUCGUAUGCCUGGAAGAAAUUUCCAGCUGCCUGGGAGAAGACCCAGGCUGCAAGCCAGCCUUCCAGGGAAGGUGCCCCGCAUAGGAGCAGACAAAGGAACCUUGUUCCAGCGGUGGUGGAGCCCCAGGCGCUGGGUUCGAACCCGUCCUCCCAGCACAGGAACCUCCCUUGUGAUGCCAGUCACGUCCUGGGGGGACCGUCACGAGAUGUCUCUCUGGGUGCUGCGGGAGGGCUGGCAGAUGAGGGUGGGGAGCCUGGAGGUCACAAGGCAGUCACACACACGUCAGAUCCCACGGUCUGGAGCAGCCGAAACACGUGAAGAGCACGAGGCCUUUAUAGCCCGAGGUCCUUCCUCAGGUCCUUCCUUCACCGGGGGUGAAGGAUCAAAUUUUUUCUCCCCCUUAGGCUUUCUGCAGCACCUUUACAGUUGCCAGCAGCCUGAUGUGGUCAGCAGAUUGCACAGCAGCUGGCGGGAGCUGCACAGGGCCCUGGUGCAGACCGGGAGAAGGGCAGACAGCUCCCCCUGCCAGGGCAGGAGCCAGCAGGCUUCCCGGAGAGCAGGCAGCACACUUACAGGCUUCAGGGUCUUACAUUUUCCCCAACAGAAGCAGUUCAGACAUUUGUACACCCACAGUGUGAAGGUGCAGGUGAACGAGCGGUGUGACAAACAGCGUGCUCCCCCUUCUCUCAAGAAAGGGCUGGUUUUAGGACAGUCAUGUUCCCCUCAGGCAGGGCAGUCCUCCAGCGGUGGCUGCCCAGAGAACGCCCCAAGUGACGCAGUUUGAAGUGACAACAAACACAGGCAGAAAAACCUGCAAGGAGAAAAGCAUCUUCAGAUAAUUCGUGCCUGACCCACGUGCACAGGAGACGCUGCACUGUAAAGGACAGCUCCUUGCAGACUCAAACCCUCGCUUAAUGACGCUCCAUGGAUUGAUUCAGCAGGCUCUGAACAGCCCCCACACUGCAGCACAGGGGCGCCACAUCCCCCAGCAGCAGACAGUGCUUUAAUGAGGGGAGAUGGACUGCUGGCGGGUAGCGGAGGUCAGGAUCCACAGGCAGACCCCAGGAGUCGUCCAUCUGUGUUUACUUUCAGCUCUUGUUAAUUGCCUUGGCAUGUAACGACCUUACCAGCUGAAAAACGGGAGCGAGGCUCUACAGCACCGGAGUCAUCACUCUGCAGUAAAAGGCAGGCACGUUAUUUGCCCAGACAGAAAAUCCUCGGCAAUCCUAACAGAACUGGAAGCAGUUAAGUUACUGCAAGAAGAAACGCGGACAGUUUACCAGGUAGUGUUACAGCUCAGUGAACGUACAGCUGGCACCGCAGGUAGAGAGGAAGGAGCCUCCCUCCGCGUGCUGGCACAGCGUGUGCAGCACUGCGUGGUGAACCAGGCUGGGAGCAAGCGCCGCUGAAAAACAGGGGUUGUUUCAGCUAGAUCAGCUCCUUAAUCCAGUUCACUGCACAAAGACGUGCGCUGGCACCAGCAAAGGGCAGUCUGGAGGUGAUAACGCCCCUUAACAAUCGCCAGCUUAAAGAGGUUGCUGGAUUUGGGCUGCGGUUUGUCAAUCCCAGCAGCAGAGGCAGUUAAACAACCACCCCGAGGUCUGCGUGGCAUCCUGUGCCACCGCGCUGCUCGCCCGUUUCCUGACUGCUUUCAGGUCAGCACUCGCGUUGAUCUGCAGGGAUGGAACAGGCAGUGCUAUAAAUAAAGAACAGUUAAUCAACUAUUUGAGUGCCCUUUUUACUGAGGCAAAGAAGACACAGAGAAAUGACGUCAAGAUGGGGGAAAAAAAGCUGCGCGUGAAUACAAAGACGAUCCAAAAGAGCACUCCCUGGAACACACUUGGGGCUGAAGUGCUUCACAGAAGAGCUGUGCUGGCCGUUGAGUCAGACUCUCCAGUGCUCCUGCACUGACUCACCCCCUCCCCGCCGCCAGCAGUGUUCAAUACCAAACAGGAGUUACUCGUUUAGAGUUCAAACAUCUGAUCCAUUAUGAGCCACCGAGCUUCUGCAGCCUUCAGAGCUCUCUCCUUGCCGCUUCCCACCGGCUACCUGCUCUGACACCCCUGGGAAAGGGAAGGGUCAGAGAAGAGCCCUAAUUAAAUCUGAUUCUUCCCUUCUUUCCUCUGCUCCCGCCUGUGAGACAGAAAGACAACUUAUUUAGGACCAGGGCAAUGCGCAGAUUCACCAUCAAGGCCAGGAGGUCCUACGGGCUCUCUGUCCAGAGGAAGCUGCAGAAAGAUGCGCGCUCCCAGCUCUCCCUGAUGCAGCUUAGGCAGAAAGCUUGCCGGUUCCUUUUCCCUUCCCCAGACUUGGGAAUACACUACACAGCCUGCCCCUUGCAAAUAACGCUUCUCCAGAGGAGGCCACCAGGCUCUCCCCAACCUUAGAAACAGGGAAGAACAAGAGCUUUCCUAGACACCCUAGAGGAACACAACACUGGGGUGUCCCCUUCUCAGGCACUUGCACUUCGCGGUGCCUUGGCCAGGAAGAUGCCACAACUUGCACGUUUCGUAAGCCCUAAGAGACUUGCUCUUCCAGUCAUCCCUCCUCCAGUAUCGUAUCUGCAUGCCCACACCCGUGGCACAGCACUGCUGCCUCUCACCAGCUACAAGAAACCACAUCAGAUACAAGAGCUGGCAGCCCUAGGAUCUGCUGAGAAGCUUCGUUAAGCACACGGGAUCCCACGCCAGGAAGCAGACCUGCUGCGUGACCAAAUGCAUCCAGAGCCCCCUGGACACGAGCCAGCACACAGCCGUAAGGCACACGUGUCCUGCAACCAGAAACCUGCCACACGGCCUCACGCCCCAGCCCCGCGUGGCAGGAGUCCUCCGACCUGAGAGACGCCGGACCGAUGCUGAGGAAACCUCUCCAAUUUCCCUGCUCCCCCCCGUUUCCUGUGUGACCUUGGUCUGCAAAGCCCCGUCUCGGAGCCUCAGGGCGUUGUUUCACGAGCAUUUGGUUUUGGCAGUAAACUGGCUCAAGUUCCUUCCUUCCUCCCACCUCCACAGGGGUUAAGUGAGAAAGAAGCAAACAGCGGCAGAGGGUAAGAACAAAGAGCUACUUUAAAACCUGGCCUCCGUGCCAAGGGGCUCAGGAAGCUACACCCUCAUUUUCUUCAGCUGUGAUGGAGGGAUAAUAUUGUCUGCCUCUGCUACGUGACAGACGCCACAAUGGAUGAGGGCAAACAUUAAAUGUAAGAUGCUCUGAAGAUGAACCUUGCCGCAUCUUGGAUGCGGUAUUAAUAAAUUCCUUCAUAGCUCUCCAUUUUAACUUGUUAUACAAGUAAAACAAAACAAACAAACAAAAAAACAACACAAAAACAAGCUAACAAACAAAACACACAAAACUAUCCAAUCUAUUUGCAGCUUGACUCAUGCUCCACGUGACGCUGGUGAGAGCGCUCCAUUUAGCAGCGUACCACCAAUGUUGGCAAUUACAUUAUUUUCUAGGUGCGGUUGAAGGCUGAGUUAGGGUAUUUCAGAUGAAGCUCCCAGGAAGGGAAGCAAAUAACAUCAGAUAAUCAGACAACAGGCAGAGUUACCAAACGGCCAAAAUCAAAAAACAUCUUUUAUUGGCCAAAGUAACCAAGAAACCAUUUUCUUCCAAUAAACAAAAUAAAAACUUAACUGAAACAACGGGCAAUAUUUAUCAACAAAAUGGAACACUAAUAAGCCCCACAUAAGCUUGAUUGUUCACGUUCAUCCUCUGGAAAUAUUCCUCCUCCUAAACAAGUGAGCUUUUCCUCCUUUACCCUAGUGUACCACCUGAAGCAGUAAGGAAACGGAAAGACUCCAAGUCAUUUAGGACAAGAGAACAAACGCACAGGGAGGUAUGAACCUGUCCAUUUACAUGAACAGAAGAGGCUGUGGGUAUCUGCAAAUAUCUUACAUGCAAAGUAUUUGAAGCUAACAAUUUCCCCUCUUUUGGGGGAUACAAAGAUUUUACUACAUGAACUAUCAUUUCUCUUUUUAAUCCCAGGAAACAGGUACAGUUGUGGCCUAUAUAGGUUGUUAAAACUCAAAUGCUACCUGCGGUUUGUCAGUUAACACUCCUCUAGUCAUAAACUUUGCUAGUUCAAAAGAAAAAAAAAAAUCUUACACAGAGUUCUUAAGGUGAUUGUGUUAAAACUCAACAUUUACUCGUGUUGGGAAAUCAAACAGCAGUCAGGGGAAGCAGGUAUUUAAGAAAACCUUGCACUCACUGAUAGCAGGUAUCUUGGAGGGAAAAAAAAAAUAAAAGAGAACAACGUGCCCAGGUGCAGUACACCGGUUCCAAGGGGGGACACGUUAACUGAAACCAUUAAACAGAGCUGGUUAAUAAACAGUUAUGCAGAUCUGUUCAACUUAAGCAGGCGAGCAUUUAAUAAACAA
Cygnus olor (mute swan) is the source of this 13654-nucleotide RNA transcript. RefSeq lists it as uncharacterized. The record is from RefSeq and is a predicted model, not a curated record. Lineage: Eukaryota; Metazoa; Chordata; Aves; Anseriformes; Anatidae. The transcript is spliced from 10 exons.